Molecule: ribosomal RNA, 305 nt
Filed under: uncultured bacterium
Lineage: Bacteria
Description: bacterial SSU rRNA
Rfam family: Bacterial small subunit ribosomal RNA
Source: RNAcentral
UUUACCUACGGGGGGCAGCAGUGGGGGAUAUUGCACAAUGGGGGAAACCCUGAUGCAGCGACGCCGCGUGGGCGAAGAAGUAUUUCGGUAUGUAAAGCCCUAUCAGCAGGGAAGAAGAAAUGACGGUACCUGAGUAAGAAGCACCGGCUAAAUACGUGCCAGCAGCCGCGGUAAUACGUAUGGUGCAAGCGUUAUCCGGAUUUACUGGGUGUAAAGGGAGCGCAGGCGGCACGGCAAGCCUGAUGUGAAAGCCCGCGGCCCAACCGCGGGACUGCAUUUGGAACUGUGCUGCUAGAGUGUCGGAG